RNAcentral lists this ribosomal RNA (497 nucleotides) under uncultured bacterium. RNAcentral's name for it is "partial 16S ribosomal RNA". It matches the Rfam family "Bacterial small subunit ribosomal RNA", at positions 28 to 507 of the family's 1533-position model. The record is from RNAcentral.
GAUGAACGCUGGCGGCGUGCCUAAUACAUGCGAGUCGAGCGAACAGAUGAGGAGCUUGCUCCUCUGACGUUAGCGGCGGACGGGUGAGUAACACGUGGAUAACCUACCUAUAAGACUGGGAUAACUUCGGGAAACCGGAGCUAAUACCGGAUAAUAUAUUGAACCGCAUGGUUCAAUAGUGAAAGACGGUUUUGCUGUCACUUAUAUAUGGAUCCGCGCCGCAUUAGCUAGUUGGUAAGGUAACGGCUUACCAAGGCAACGAUGCGUAGCCGACCUGAGAGGGUGAUCGGCCACACUGGAACUGAGACACGGUCCAGAAUCCUACGGGAGGCAGCAGUAGGGAAUCUUCCGCAAUGGGCGAAAGCCUGACGGAGCAACGCCGCGUGAGUGAUGAAGGUCUUCGGAUCGUAAAACUCUGUUAUUAGGGAAGAACAAAUGUGUAAGUAACUAUGCACGUCUUGACGGUACCUAAUCAGAAAGCCACGGCUAACUACGUG